UAGUCCACGCCGUAAACGAUGGAUACUAGCUGUCGGGACCUCGGUCUCGGCGGCCAAGCGAAAGUGAUAAGUAUCCCACCUGGGGAGUACGUUCGCAAGAAUGAAACUCAAAGGAAUUGACGGGGGCCCGCACAAGCGGUGGAGCAUGUGGUUUAAUUCGAUGAUACGCGAGGAACCUUACCAGGGCUUAAAUGUAGUCUGACAGGACCAGAGAUGGUUUUUUCUCGGACAGAUUACAAGGUGCUGCAUGGUUGUCGUCAGCUCGUGCCGUGAGGUGUCAGGUUAAGUCCUAUAACGAGCGCAACCCCUACCGUUAGUUGCCAGCGAGUAAUGUCGGGGACUCUAACGGGACUGCCGGUGCAAACCGCGAGGAAGGUGGGGACGACGUCAAAUCAUCACGGCCCUUACGUCCUGGGGCCACACACGUGCUACAAUGGCCGGUACAGAGGGGAAGCCACCACGCAAGUGGGCGCGGAUCUACAAAGCCGGUCACAGUUCGGAUCGGGGUCUGCAACUCGA
This 519-nucleotide ribosomal RNA is filed under the name uncultured bacterium. RNAcentral's name for it is "bacterial SSU rRNA". It matches the Rfam family "Bacterial small subunit ribosomal RNA", at positions 791 to 1315 of the family's 1533-position model. The record is from RNAcentral.